UACGAAGGGGGCUAGCGUUGCUCGGAAUUACUGGGCGUAAAGGGCGAGUAGGCGGCCUUCUAAGUCAGACGUGAAAUCCCCCGGCUUAACCUGGGAACUGCGUCUGAUACUGGGAGGCUUGAGUAUGGGAGAGGGAUGUAGAAUUCCAGGUGUAGCGGUGAAAUGCGUAGAUAUCUGGAGGAAUACCGGUGGCGAAGGCGGCAUCCUGGACCAUUACUGACGCUGAAUCGCGAAAGCUAGGGGAGCAAACGGG
This 253-nucleotide ribosomal RNA is filed under the name uncultured bacterium. RNAcentral's name for it is "partial 16S ribosomal RNA". It matches the Rfam family "Bacterial small subunit ribosomal RNA", at positions 524 to 776 of the family's 1533-position model. The record is from RNAcentral.